RNAcentral lists this microRNA precursor (62 nucleotides) under Chlorocebus sabaeus (green monkey). Its description in RNAcentral is "miRNA (ENSCSAG00000025812.1)". Lineage: Eukaryota; Metazoa; Chordata; Mammalia; Primates; Cercopithecidae. The record is from RNAcentral.
GUGGGAGUGAGGUGGGACCCAACUGUUGGCCAUGGCGAUGACAUCUGGGUUGUCCCCUCUAG